CAUACAUCGAUUCAUUUGUCCUGAAAGAUUUCUUCCAAAGAUUGACUUUCAGGGCAUAUUUCCAACAAUUCUUACACCCCUCUCGACAUUUUGCAAAGUGUUUUUCUUUUUCAGUCUGUGGAUGUGGCACUGUUUUGACAAACGUAGCCCACCUUGGGUAAACACCGUCUGCAAGGUAGUAUGAUCCGUCGUAUUUAGUGCCAUUAACCCGAUAUGUGCAUUUGGGUGAUUUUCCUUGCAGUAGAUCGUCGAACACUGGAGAUUGAGCAAGGACAUUUAGGUCAUUCUGAGCUCUUGGAACACCAAAAAAAGCAUGCUAAAUCCAUGUAUCAAAUGAAGCCACCGCUUCCAAAAUGAUACUCUUGGCUCAUUUUCUGUUGCCAUAAGCUCAUUGCCACGCACUUGGACAAUUUUUCCAAGUCCAAUGUAUGCAGUCGAUGCUUCCAAUCAUGCCAGGGAAGCCUCGCAUCUCACCCUUCCUUAGAAGCCUUCGCAUGUCCCUUGGCGUGGGUGUUCGGAGGUACUCAUUGGUGUAAAGGGCUUCAAUUGCAGAGCAAAACCGCAUCAGAGACUCCAGAAUAGUUGUUUUUCCUAUCCUCACGAUCUCAUCCACUUGAUCUGCAUAUGCUCCAUAUGCAAGCAUUUGUAAGGCAGCCAUAAUUUUUUGCUCUGGAAGAAGACCUAGAACACGAAAAGCAUCUUUUUUUUGCACAAAAUAUGGAUCAUGGUUGCAAAUAGCACUCAUGAUUUUG
Molecule: long non-coding RNA, 752 nt
Filed under: Malus domestica (apple)
Lineage: Eukaryota; Viridiplantae; Streptophyta; Magnoliopsida; Rosales; Rosaceae
Description: long non-coding RNA (MDOM_LNC004467)
Source: RNAcentral